UUGCAGGGAUGGAUGUGAUGCUUUUUUUUUGUUGUUUUUGCUGAAGGAAUUGAUUUUGAUAAAUAGCUUCUUCCUAAGAGUGUCCUCUAAGGGCACUGCAAAAAUUCUGGACGAAAAGCUCUUUUGGAUAGUAUUUUGGACAUUAUACUGCACAGCUAAUGGACAACAUUUUUGGACAGCAUUUUCAACAUUAUUGCACAGUGCAGGAACAUCUUAGAUAGUAUUUUUGACUUGCCAAUUUUUUAGAUAGCAUAACUGAAAAUUUGGACAAGUGAUUGCAUAGCCAAACACUAAUUAUUGUUGUCAUUUUGGAAAACUUUUGUAACUAAUGAAGUUACUCAAACAUGAUAGAUUUUGUGUAUGUUUGAGUAGACUAAUUAUAUGCAGAUGUUGAAAGUUUUUAAUGCAAUAGUACAUUUUAUUCUUUUA
Molecule: long non-coding RNA, 429 nt
Organism: Quercus robur (English oak)
Lineage: Eukaryota; Viridiplantae; Streptophyta; Magnoliopsida; Fagales; Fagaceae
Exons: 2
Source: RefSeq, a predicted model, not a curated record